This 28-nucleotide small RNA is filed under the name Bombyx mori (domestic silkworm). RNAcentral describes it as "ovarian small RNA-4723". Lineage: Eukaryota; Metazoa; Arthropoda; Insecta; Lepidoptera; Bombycidae. The record is from RNAcentral.
CAGGACUUCAGCACGAGCCAACGGUGUA